This 530-nucleotide non-coding RNA is filed under the name Oryza barthii. Lineage: Eukaryota; Viridiplantae; Streptophyta; Magnoliopsida; Poales; Poaceae. The record is from RNAcentral.
ACCGCGCAAUGAAACAUACCUACAUGCUUGCUCGCCAUGGACAACUAAACAGCAGUUGUCGACUUGCAGAGACAAGCAUGCCUGAUGGUAUUAACGCAAAUGCUGGUUAAAGGGAAUGAAGCCUGGUCCGAGGUCACCACCAGCCAUGCAUCAUGCACACACACAUCCAUCAGAAAUUCAGAACAAAGAAAAAAAAAAUGUGAUGUAGGACAGCAGGAGGCCUUGAACCAGACAACAAACCCCUUAACCGAGAACAUCAGCCAACCACCAAAGCAGAGAAAGAAAGAAAGAAGCAAGGAUAGUUUUUAGAAGACGAGAACAUCAGCCAACCAUGGCAAGCUCAGCAGCCGACCUCCCUGGGGUUUUAUGAGGCGGAGGCGGCGGCGGCGGCGUCGUCGUCAUGACAGAAAUAGCUGCAAGGCAAGACGUACACCACGCCGUGUGGCUCGGCAAGUCGGCAGCGUACUGGGAGGGUCAGUAAAUUCCCCAUUUAUUGAGAGCUCAUCGCACCGUUUUACUGUUUUGUGCGU